RNAcentral lists this ribosomal RNA (494 nucleotides) under uncultured bacterium. RNAcentral's name for it is "partial 16S ribosomal RNA". It matches the Rfam family "Bacterial small subunit ribosomal RNA", at positions 28 to 507 of the family's 1533-position model. The record is from RNAcentral.
GACGAACGCUGGCGGCGUGCUUAACACAUGCAAGUCGAACGGUGAAGCGCCUUCCUUUUUGGUGGGUGUGGAUGAGUGGCGAACGGGUGAGUAACACGUGAGUAACCUGCCCCCUUCUUCUGGAUAACCGCAUGAAAGCGUGGCUAAUACGGGAUAUUCUGGGUCUGUCGCAUGAUGGGUCUGGGAAAGAUAUUGUUUCGGUGGGGGAUGGGCUCGCGGCCUAUCAGCUUGUUGGUGGGGUGAAGGCCUACCAAGGCGGUGACGGGUAGCCGGCCUGAGAGGGUGGACGGUCACACUGGGACUGAGACACGGCCCAGACUCCUACGGGAGGCAGCAGUGGGGAAUAUUGCACAAUGGGCGAAAGCCUGAUGCAGCGACGCCGCGUGAGGGAUGGAGGCCUUCGGGUUGUGAACCUCUUUCGCCAGUGAAGCAGGCCUGCCUCGUUUGUGGGUGGGUUGACGGUAGCUGGAUAAGAAGCGCCGGCUAACUACGUG